Molecule: ribosomal RNA, 406 nt
Filed under: uncultured bacterium
Lineage: Bacteria
Description: partial 16S ribosomal RNA
Rfam family: Bacterial small subunit ribosomal RNA
Source: RNAcentral
AUUGAACGCUGGCGGCAGGCCUAACACAUGCAAGUCGAACGAGCGGCGGACGGGUGAGUAAUGUCUGGGAAACUGCCCGAUGGAGGGGGAUAACUACUGGAAACGGUAGCUACUACCGCAUACCAUCGGAUGUGCCCAGAUGGGAUUAGCUAGUAGGUGGGGUAACGGCUCACCUAGGCGACGAUCCCUAGCUGGUCUGAGAGGAGGACCAGCCACACUGGAACUGAGACACGGUCCAGACUCCUACGGGAGGCAGCAGUUGGGAAUAUUGCACAAUGGGCGCAAGCCUGAUGCAGCCAUGCAGCGUGUAUGAAGAAGGCCUUCGGGUUGUAAAGUACUUUCAGCGAGGAGGCGUUACUCGCAGAAUAAGCACCGGCUAACUCCGUGCCAGCAGCCGCGGUGAUUC